UACGUAGGGUGCGAGCGUUGCCCGGAUUUAUUGGGCGUAAAGAGCGUGUAGGCGGCCAGGUAGGUCUGCUGUGAAAACUCGAGGCUUAACCUCGAGCUGUCGGCGGAAACCAUCUGGCUAGAGUCCGGAAGAGGAGAAUGGAAUUCCCGGUGUAGCGGUGAAAUGCGCAGAUAUCGGGAAGAACACCCGUGGCGAAGGCGGUUCUCUGGGACGGUACUGACGCUGAGACGCGAAAGCGUGGGGAGCGAACAGG
This 253-nucleotide ribosomal RNA is filed under the name uncultured bacterium. Its description in RNAcentral is "partial 16S ribosomal RNA". It matches the Rfam family "Bacterial small subunit ribosomal RNA", at positions 524 to 776 of the family's 1533-position model. The record is from RNAcentral.